This 15076-nucleotide long non-coding RNA is filed under the name Homo sapiens (human). RNAcentral's name for it is "LNC_000681". Lineage: Eukaryota; Metazoa; Chordata; Mammalia; Primates; Hominidae. The record is from RNAcentral.
GGGCUGAGAAGCGGGAAGAGAGGGCUUCCAGGGUCAGGGCCUAGUUGGUUCAGACUUCAGGACUGUGGGCUCCUGCCGAUGGCGCCUGCUGCACAGUGACCUCGGGCAGUCCGCCCCCCCCCCAUCCCCCUUAGCUAGGGGGGCCUGCCCAGGUCGUGGUGCUCCCCUGGCCUCGGGCUCAGCCUGCAUGAUGCACCUGUGGCCAACAGGCCCCUUCUUGGCUUUCCCAGGGAUCGAGCUGCAGGUCAGAGGCCCUUCCCCUGCCCUGUCUCUGCCUCCCACCCCGAGAGCUGACAGCCUCUGGGCUUCUCAGAACAUGUCUGGAGUCAGCUGGGGGCGUCUCCUCCGACAUCCACGCGUACCCUAAGGCCUUCACCGCCUGGUCCGCCACCUCCCCACGAGGGCCCGCACUGACUCCGUGACCCUGGGCUGCAUGGUGAGUCAGUGCCUGGAGCCAAACCCAGUUCCCAGAGAGAGGCCUGCUGGGUGCCACCCACCCUUGUCUUCUGAUGCUCUGCGUGGACCCCCAGAGUGGAGGCCCCAGGACACCCACAGAACUUGACUGAAGGGGCUGAGCGUAGGAACCUGAGGCAGGGACCGGCGCUGGCCUAGGUAGCAAGGAGGUCCCCCGGCGAGGGAGGGCAAGAACAGGGGCGGGUGGCCUGGUGGGGCCACCCUCUGGCUGAGGCCCCGUCUAGGGUGUGCAGGGAGCUCCUGGCUGAGGCCACAGGGAGCCAGCCUGGCACACAGCCUGGGUCGCUGUGUGCUGGCGAACCUGGGGCCUGGCUGCCGAGCGGAGGCUGGGUGGAAGAUUGGACUGAGAGUGCUGUAGGGCACAGGGGGCUGGGGGCCAGCUCCACUGGGGCUGAAGGGGCUAGGAGGACACCGGGAUUCCAGCCAGAGCCUCCAAGGCAGCCUCAGAUGGAGCGUGUGUGGAGCCCGUGGGACGGCCUUAGGAGGUGUCCAGGGCGCGCAUUCGUGCCGGUCUCACACUCAGGAUGCAGCUGCAGGGUCCCCAGGGCACGUGGGAGUCGCGGGCAUGAGUUCCUUUGGGAAGGGUGCCUGGGAUGAGGGCUGGCGCUGGGCGUUGGGGGCGCCUGCUGCUAGGCCAUUGUCUGGUGGACCUGUCCCUCUCCUGCGCUGUCCUCCACUGGGAUGGGUUCUUGCUGUAAGACCUGGAGUCCUGGUCAAGCCUUCCUGCCUCUGCCUCCGUUUCCCUCCGUGAACAGGAGGCCUGUACACUGAGGGGGGUCUCAGUGUUGAGGGCUCAGCCUCGCCCCCAGCUGCAGCCAUGGCUCACUAAGUCUCUAUCUAUGGUCUGUGUUCUGAAAGGCAGAAUGAUGGUCUCCAAAAGAGAUCCGUGUCCUAAUCCUAAGAGACUGUCUCCUUAGAUAGCACAGCAGGAUGGAAGCUGCAGAUGGAAUCAGGUUCCCGGUCACUGACCUGAGGAAGGGGAGGUUAUCUGGAUGGGCCCAGUGUUGUCAGGAGAGCCAAGGGCACUGAGCAGGGAGGCAGCGGAGGAAGACAGCGCGGCGUGGGAAGGGCCUGAGUCAGCAGUGCAGGCAGCUCCUAGAAGCUGGGAAAGGAAGGCACCCAGAAAGAACUGGCCCUGCAGACUAGCCCGGUGAGGUCCGUUUGAGGUAAGUUCAUUUUGCCUCCAGCCACGAAGUUCAUGGCAACUGCAGCAACAGGAGAUGAAGGCAGAUUUUGGUUCUAGGCAUGAGGCACUGCUGUAGCAAAUACCUAGAAAGGUGGAAGUGGCUUUGGAAUUGGGCUGAAAGAAUUUUGAGGGUGAUAGAAAAAGCCCGUGAUGUUGUUAAACAGGUGGUAGAAGGAUGGAGGCGAGCGGGGCUCGAGGGGCUCGGAGGAACCAGCCUGGGCUCUGAGAAGAGUCAGAGCCCCUCUGACCCGCCCGUCCUCGGACAUGUGGGGUUAAAGGUGCAGGUGGGAGCUCAGAGGGAAAGGAAAGAACGGGAGCCAGGGAGAGCCCCGUCCAUGGGGGCAGAGGUGCAGCUGCACUCUGUCCCGUUGCCACGUGCGGGCAGCACUCGAGGGUGGUCAGCCUGGGCCCCUUGCGCUGCUCAGGUUGGCCACUAAGUGAGAGAAGGACAUUAGCAGAGGGGUGAGCACCCUGCCAUCGGGAAUUCUCAGCUGAAGAUGCUGAUGUCAGGAGAUUCACUGUCAGGAAUGUGUGCUCAGAGUAACGGCCACACCAAGAGCUCCUGGAGGAGGGCGAGCCUGUGGCUGGUGGAUGCCCCGGGUCACCCAAGCAGAUGCUCAAAGCAGGGACCGCUGUGGGAGGUCUGUGGACGAGCCUUGGGUCUGUGGACGAGCCUUGGGUCUUACGGAUCCGGUGAAGCCCUGUGGGAACCACGAGAGGCUCUUAAACCAUCAGAAACUCAGCUGGCUUGGACUGAGGCAGAGGGGAUGUGAUGAAAGGCUCUUGAGCCCCAAAAAUCAGCAGGCAGGAAGCAGACUAAACUGUUCAGCUGCAAACACUUGCUACGUUUCAUAAAUAGAGAGCAUGGCCCUGAGGGUGGAGGUGUCAGCACAGAGGCAGAGUUGGGACCCACAGAAGGAGUUCCCAGGCCUUGCUGGGACGGAGGAAGUGUACCCAGCUGGAUUUUGGAUUUCUUGGGAGCAGCGACACAAGCACCUUGCAGCUUUCUCUGUGUGUCACGUGUGUGUGUGUGUGUAUGCACAUAUAAAUGACUGGGUUUCACCGUCACCCAAACUGGAGUGCUGGGUAAUCCUAGCUCACUGCAGCCUCAGACUUCCGGGCUCAAGGGGUCCUCCCCCUUCAGACUCCUGAGUAGCCAGCACCACAGGUGCGAGCCACCACGCCCGGCUGAUUUUGAAAUAUUUUGUAGAGUUGAAGUUUCACUACCCAGGCUGGUCUUGAACCCCUGGACUCAGGUGAUCCUUUCUGUCUCAGCCUCCCAAAGUGCUGGACCGUCACACCCAGCCAAACUUUCCUUGAAAACAGGAGUGUCUGUGACUGGCAUUCCGCGUCUGUUCUCUGGUCGUAUUUUGGGAGCAGGUAACUGGUUUUCUAGCUUUCGGGGUCCACAGAUGGAGAGGAAACUGCCCCAGGGUGGAAUGCCCAGAGUGUCACCCAUACCUGAUCGGGGUAGCUUAGAGGGUGCGACUUGCGACUUGUGAGCUGAUGAGCUGUACGUGAGGUUUGGGACUGGACUGGGUGCUGUGUUUGGUGGAGACUGUUGGGGCCGUGAGGGGAGGGAUGCAUUUGCACGUGGGAUGGGUGUGAAGCAGCGGGAGUGGGAGGGUACUGCGUUCGGCCUGAGACAUCCCUUACCACUGGUGAUGUCCACAUCUAGUCCCAUGGAAGUGAACGUGCCACCCAGCAGCAAAGGGGAAUGAAAGCAGCGAUGGGAUUAAGGCAAUCAGCUGACCUUGAGAGGCAGAGAUGGUCUGGGCCCAGUGAGAGCACGAGGCCUUCAUCGUGGAAGCUGGACGCAGGUUGGGAUGCGCAGGACACAGCUGUGAGGAGGCUCCACCCACGCUCCUGGCUGCGAAGGUGGAGACCCCAGGCCACGGGAUGCAGGCGGCCACAGGUCCUCCCCUGGAGCCUCCAGGAGGAGCACACCUUGAUUCUAGACCAGGGCACCCCUUGAGUGAGACCUGCCCAGUCCUUGACUCUGGGACUGUGAGGUAUUGGUGUUUUAAGCUUCUUACUUUGCGGUAACUAUGGCGGUGAUAGGAAACCACAGGAGACAAUGCAUCUACCAAGCAGGCCAAGGCGUUCUUACAGGGUCCUGGGGGCAGGUGCACAAGAGGGCCCAACUCCCCGGCAUGAGACCCACAGUGUAGACUGUGCCAGUCUGGCUGGCACGAACGUGGCUCCCCGGGUAGUGUUCCCUGCACGUCUGUCAGCCCUGCCCGCUCUCCAGCAGGCCCCGCUGCCUGGAAAGUCGCCACUGGUUCUCCCUCCUGUUGCUGGCCUCCUCCUCUCUGGCUCUCUGCUGACCCCGACCCCUUGCCAGAUCACACCAAGAGACUUGGGUUGGUGGUAGGGAGUUGGGGUGGGAUGGGGAGAAGUCACUGGAGUGAGUGGGGAGGCACUGGACUUAGGGCAGAGGGCCUGGGCACCACACCACUGGAGGGCAGGAGGCAGGCAGGACGGGGAGGCAGGGCCAGUCCACCUGUGGUGAGCUCCCUGGCGGGAUGGGAGCAGGGCAGCUGGAACGCCCCACCUUGAAGCUGGCAUGCGGGCAUCAGCCUCCUGCAAGCUCUGAGGCUUUGUGACACCAGGAAUUGUUCCAUCUUAUAGCUUAGGAGGCUGGGGCUCUGUGCCUCUGCCUUCAGCUGACGGAAAAGCCCAGGGCAGGCUCCCCAUGGAGCAGACCUAGGCCUGGACUGCUGUGUGCAGGGCCCCUCCCUGGAGCACCCACCUCCCACCUGCAUCCUGUACAGGAGGUGGGUCAGACUGUCGUCCCCCGCCACCCACCUGCCAUCCCAUGGGUGGGCUCACCAGUCGGCUCGUUCACCAGGGCCCUAGCUCUCAGGCCAGGCCGUGGCAGGCUCUGAGCCCAGAUGUGUCCGUCGGAUUAGCCACCUGGGAACUGAGGACCAGGACUGUGAAGCCAUCCUCUAGGUGGGCAGACCGGCCACCACAUCCUUUUUCAAUCUCCAUUUUAAUUUCUUCAUAGAAAUGAUGUGAGGACCGACUGGUGUAAAGUGAGACUAGUGUCUGCCACAUCAGAAGUCCUGCCAUAUUUGUUUUCAUUUUUUAUAUAAACCAGCAGAUUCUGGCUUAGCUCGCUUUGGGUUCUGUUACUUACAACCAAGAGAGCUUGGUGUCAGAAGUGGGACUGCAGGACACAGCCCCUUCCUGAGCAGUGGGGAGCUGGCAGGACUCUUGACACACUGUUUCCUUUUGGGCCUCCAGUCAUGGGCCUGAGAAGGCUGACUUCUCACCGUGAAUGUUUAGAGGAGGGCCAGGAGUGCGUGUGUCAGCCGCUCUCAGAGAAGCAGGUGCAGGACCACAGGUCAGGAAGGCUUCCGGUCCAGGGCCAGUAGCCUGCGACCCCACAGACUGUCCUGUGCCUCACUGAACCGUAGCAGCCAAAUUCCUUUCCUCAGCCUGUUUCUUAAGGUAAAAUGAACUGGGAAACUGUAAUCCAGGGAUUGGAAUGGAUCCUGAUUCCCUGGGCCCCUCCCAAGUGCCUUCUCUUCAGGGUACCAACCUCCUGUGAGCUCAGCCACUUGGCAGUCCAGGGUCAAACAGAGGACGGCUCAGCUUCCCUCUGUGUCCUGGGCUCUGAGCGGAGCCCUGAGCUAACUAAGCCUGACUAACAUGGUGACCCCCUGGCUCCCUCCAGAGAGAUGGGUACAGGCACAGCUUGAAGUUCAGGGCAGUGGCUCUCACCUGGGGGUGAUUCUGUCCCCUACCAGGAGACUCAUGGCAAUGUCUGGGGACGUUUUGUCACAAUGGAGGUGGGACAGCUACUAGCUUCUGUUGGGCUGAGACCAGGGAUGUGGCCCCCACCCCAUCAUCAUCUCCCCCCUCAGCCAUGUGCUUAGCACCUGCUCCAAUGAUAGACAGCUGGGUGCAGUCCGGCGCAUCUGAGUCCUUCACGUGGGAGGGAAGUGUGCGUGGGCCUCCCAGGGCAGCUCUGUGGACGCCGCAGUCUCUGCGUGGACCCUGCUGAGGCCUGCUGCUGGCCUCCUCCAGGCCGCGGUGGACUCCCGGCCACUGGCCUCACACAGCAUGGGCCUGGACUUGCCCUUCUGCUGCGGCGGCAGAGGGGCAGCUGGGCCAGGGCGUCGUGCCAGUGGAGCCCACGGCCCUGGCUGCCCUCUGUGGCAGGUAUGGCUGGGACCAUCCCCGCUCUAGCUCCAGGGGCUGUGCUCAGCCUGGGCCCCUCACUCCCAAGGCUGGGUCAUGGCACCCUAUCCGGACCCUUCCCAAGUAAGGAGUGGGAAGAAGGCUCAUUCUCCAGGAAAAGGCCCAGGCCCUGGGUGGCCGUGCAGGCCUUGUGGGGUGGCAGAGGUGCCGUGCAAAGAGAGCUCCGCCCAGGCCCUGGCCCUCAACGGGAGCCCGCCUCAGGCUGGGGCAGCCUCGGGGGAUGGCCCCACACAUCGGAAGUGACCUCUGACCUUGGCCGCCCGGAAUCUCACCCUCUUCAGCUGGGCAGAGGGUAGCUGCAUUCACACUGGCGCAGCCCAGGGGCUGCAAGUGGGGAACAAGAAGCUGUCCCGGGCUGUCACAGAGCCCUGCGCGCCCGCCCUGCCCAGAUGAAGACCUGCGUCGCUGUCUUUGCGGAAGGGAUUUAUUGUUCCGGAGCUGCAGCUGCUCACAGUUAUGACAGGGGUACACUGCAGGGGCUUGCCCAUUUCCGUGGCGCCUGCUGGAGUCCGCGUGUGUCCGAAGCACAAAAGGGGAAGGCAAGCAAGAGGCAGUUUGCUUCGUGUCCUCGAUCUCCGUGGAGAGCCCCUUCCCGCCUGUACCGCCUGGCGUUUGCUGUCCUAGGUGUUUGCUUUUGUUCUUAUGUAUAGAAAUCCCAGCCUGUGGCAGAGGUCUAAUGUUAACAGAAGCGUUAAAAUCUAUACACGAGGUGGGUGGGAGGCAGGGGCAGGCACCGAAGCAGACAGACGACUCCAUGGCAGAGGCAUGCAUCAGACCCGCCGUCCCCCACGGCCGCCGCACCCGGGCUGUGCCCGCCUGGGAGGGCUGGGCACAUGGGCGGAAGGGAACACAGAAGCUGGAGCUGGGGUGAAGCACGGCGGCGGGCACUGGGCAGGGUGGGCCUGCAGCCCUCUGAGGGCUGCGCCCUGGGCCUCGCUCUGCACAGAACGCCCUGCAGAGGAGCGCCACCGACUCUUUGUCCUUUUUUUUCAAUUUUUUCAUUUUAAUAAGAAAAGCCUCACAGUGCCCCUGCCGUCCUGUGUGUGGGGAGGGCCAGCUGAGGGCCCUCCUCCUACCCCUUCACCUUUGGACACAAAACCAAGAUUGCCCCAGCCUGACAGAGGGGCGCUGGCGCUGCCGCCCGCUACAAGACACCGCCCCUCUGCCCCGAGCCCCCCCAGAGGUGGAGCUGCUUCUCCACAGAGAGACGGAACCCAUGACAGAGCGAGCCGCACCGUCUUUAGAUGUGUGUGUAGAAAGAAGCAGGAGCAAGGGACUAAAACACAAAACCUGGCCCUGCCCCAGCGGCGCCCCCACCCCCACACCCUUUUCCAAAAACCACCAAGAAAAAAAAGUUUAUAAAAAUAUCUUGCAGGAAUUCUUUAAAGUUUACAGUAGCUCGCCAGCCCCCCCGCGCCCCACCAGCUCUGUCCUCAGAGGGCGCCCUGGCCCCAGCCCCCCCACUGCCUGAGACACGCAGACGGCAGGGGAUGUGGCCGCCGCCCUUCCCUGAACAGAGGUGCGGAGAAUCCAUAAAUUAAAACGGCAAAUAAAUAACACUGAUCCCAGCCCAGCGGCCUGGCCUGCUGGGAAGGCUCUGGUGCCGCAGGGUGUCUCUGUUUCCACCUCAGCCAGAGAGGAGCGCCAGAGCCCACAGCCGCCCCAGAUGAGGCAAGGGAGGCGCGGGUGAGACGAGAGGACGGGAGGCAGCCUGAGGAGGCCAAGACUACACGGAGGCGGCGCAGCCAGGGAGGCGGGGCACGGGCCUGCGAGGAGGCCUCCAGGUGCGGCGUGGAGGCGGUGGACGGGGCCUGUUCCUGUGGCUACGUUGCCCACCAGGGGUCCUGGCCCCAGAAGGCCACCAGGCAGGCUGUUCUUGCUGAGGGGUCAGGUGACCGGGAGUCCGGGUCGGCCGGGCUGGAGGAGGCUCCCCCGAGCCUGGCCUUCCUCCCACGGGCCGUGCGGAGCUGAGGCGAGGAGCUGCCGCGGGGUGGACGGGGCGCUGGGCUGGGCCUCACUGCCCGGCAGCAACAGCAGGAGCGGAGGGAGGGCGGGUCCGCAGCAGCUGCCUUCGGUCACAGAGGAUGGCCUCGUGGAGGUGACAUGUUAACUUUUCGGGAUAAUUCCUGGUAUCAGAGUGGAAACAAGCGAUGCUGUCAGAGACAGGCAGAGGCAGAGACAGAGAGAAAAGAGAGCGGGCGCGGGUGGCGCAGCCCACAGGCCGGCCCCAACGCCCCUUUCCUUUCCUCCCAGGCUCUGAGAACAGUCUGGACGGACGGGCGGCGCGGCCGCGGGUCCACUCGGGGCAGGGCGGGCGGCGGGCGGCGAGGCAGCCGCUGUCAGUGCUGUGCUGGGGGGGGGGGCUAGUGUGUCUAAGGCUGCUCGCGGCGGGCGGUGGGCGGGCCCAUCUUGGCCGUGUCCUUGCCCGUUGGGUACUCGGCGUCCCCUCCGGGGCCAGGGCCAGCGGCCGCGGAGUCACCGAGUGGGCCGUGGGCACUCCGCUUGGCGGGCGUGCUGGGGGCCUGGGCCGCCUGCCCGUUCUUCUCGUCUGAAAAAAGUUGUUUAAUUACGUCAAAGAAGUUACUCAAUGGGCUGCCUGGGUACACAGAACAGAGACAAAAAAAAAAAAAAAAAGGAAAAAAGAAAAAAAAGGGGGAGAGAAAGAGGAGGGGAGGGAAGGAGAGAGAAAGAGAACAAACAAACAAAUGAACGAAGAGGCCUCGACGAGGGAAAGAACCCAGAGAUGAGGCUGAGAUGGGGCCGAGCGGGGACCGGUGGGCGGCAAGCAGGGUGGGCAGGCGGCGGCCGGCAGGGGCCCUGUACGCUGGGGGCUGUGCGGUGGGGAAGCUGUGCGCCGUGGGGCCAGGAACUUAGGACCCCAGCGCCUCCGAGCUGUUGCGCAGGACCCAGUGCUCCUUUGGCGAAGCGAGGCUCGGGGCAGGUGGUGAGACCCCUCCCUCCCCACCAAGGCCUGGCCCGGAAGGCCCUGCCCCACCCCCCUUCCCUCCCCACCUUGCAGCCGUGAGGGCCGACCCACCCCAACGCCGGAGAUGACAGCGUAAAGACAAGGGCCUGCUGGGAGCUCUGAAGCCUCGCAGGACCCUGGGGGCAGCUGCUGGCCCCACUGCAUGAGGCCCAGUGGAUGACAGGGAGAGGGUGUGCCCACCACACCUCCCCAGAGAGGCCUGAAGCCCGACCCCUGGCCAGCUUGGACACAGUUUAGCAGCAGACAGACAGAUGAACAGAUGGGUGGACAAGCAUGGAGGGGUGGAUGUGGGAGGCAGGCUGGGGGGCUGGGGGCAAGCAGCUAGAGUCAUGUCCCGGGUCCCUGGGAUGGGGGCAGUCCUGAGAAGAGGGGCGGAAAUGGGGAGCCCACCCUUCUUGGGGCCCUGUGCUCACUGCCCAGGUGUGUCGAUGGAGGCCCCUCAAUCCCACUUCCUAAGCCUAACCCCCACCUGAGCCCUGAGCUGUGGGCCCCUCCGCUCCCUGCCAGGCACAGCCUCCAGUGGACAGAGGGAUGGGCACCGGCCCCUCCCCUAGGCCACAGCCUGCACCAGUGGGACCAGCGGGACCCUCACUGGCUUCAGGCCUUGGGAGCCCCUUCUUGGGCCUGCCCUGAUCCUAGGGCCUGGCAGAGGUGAGUCUGGCCAGGAACCCCGCCUGGGCUUGCUGUGGUAGGGGAGCGACCUGGGCUGCUCCUGGUAGAGGAUGGGGCCGGGGACAUCUGGGCUGCUGGGUGCCUACAUCUACACAGGGAGGCCGGGACAACCCGGGCGGCAGGUGGCGGCCACAGCGGGCUGAGGGUGAGCGGUGAAGUGGCAGGUGGAGGUGCCAGGUGAGCGUGGGGGAUUCUUACCACAUUUGGAAAGCCGCCCCGUCAUCAUUUCCAUACAGUUAGUGGUGUCUGGAGUACAGAAUGGAGAGAGGAGGGAGGGAGUGAGUGAAAGGCUGUCCUGGGCCUUCUGGCUGGACGCCCACAGCCUCGAUGGGGAGGGGGUGGAGCCAGGAGUGGGUAGGGCCCCAGAGGCAUGGGUGGGGAAUACUGGGGGGGCCAGAGCCAGAGGGGGCGGGGCUUAUAAGGGGCAGUGCAGGGGCAGGGCCUGGAGUGAGGCGGGGCUGCGGAGGCAGGGAACAAGGCGGAGCCACCUGGGCAGCAGCCGGACCUCCAGCAGCCUGAGCCUGAGCCUGGAUAUGGCCGGUGCCCUGGGUGGGCCUAGCCCCUCCCCUGGGCUGACAACUCUGCCCUGGCCGUGGCCUGCAUCCUCACUGUGCCACUCAGCAGCUCCAGGGCCCUGUGGCUUCCGGCUGCCCUUCAACUCAAGGCAGGCACCCUCUUCCUCGGCCCUCUUCCCUACUGCUGGGCCUGGGGAUGUUGGUGCUGCCAGUCCAGGACUGGGGUGGGAGCAAGGCCCUGGGAGGGGCUACUCCCUCAAGGCCCUCACUGGCGCCUGCACAGGGUGGACACACGCCCUGGUCUGCCUGUGCCUGCUCACUGGGGGCUCUCAGCCUCCCCUCCCUCGGCCGCAGUCUCUGGGGGGGUGGGCAGUGUCUGAGGAGGCCCCCUGCUGGCUAGCCACCUUCCACACAUCCUUGGAGCUGGGCUCACUGGACAAAAGCAUCCAGUGUGGGAGGGGGGCAGGGCUGGGAAGGGCUGGGCGUAGCGAGAUCACGGGGAUAGGCUGGGCUCCCCAAGUCCACAGGGAGAUAGAUGGGGCCCAGAAUAGACCCCCAAGAGCCUCUGCAGUGGGCUCCACUGAGGUCAGGGUCCGGGGCAGGAAUGGAGAGGGGCUUGGAGUUGGCUCCAGGGGAGUGCUGCGUGCUGACAGGCGGUACCACACUUUAAGGGGCCAGGCUGGGGGAGCUUUGCCUACAGCCCACGCAGGAGCGCUCGACUGAGGCACCCAGAUGGCUGCUCAGGUGCGGGGACACCCUGGGCAGUACCCCGGGGCCCGUUUCUGCUUGCCCUACCAGACAAGCCCUGUCCAUCCCUGGCCUAGGUGGCUGCCCUGUCGUUCCCUGGCCUCGGUUUCCCUUCCUAAGAUGAAGGCUUUCAAGGCUCAGAGAGCCAGAGGCUGCUGCCGGCCGACGGCAUGGCCUCCGCUGUAGGGAAGCGCCACGUGUACCUGCGGGGCCGAGCACCUGGAACCCUGCUCCUCCUUACCCGCUGUGCCAGCCUGGCUCCCAAAAUCAGGAGAAGGGGGCUACUCCUCCACCCACUGGGGCUUCGGUUAGGGCCAGGGCUGUUGGGGACCUCAGCCCCCAGCCCGCAGCAAGGUGAAGCACACUCUGGGGGGGCUCCCACAGGUGAUGGCAUGAUGAUGGAAUGAGGAUGUCAUGGGGAGGGGCAGUGGGGCCCUCUUUGGCUUCCAGGACCCCACAUGGAAACACAGGAGGUGACCCUAGCAUGCCACGGAGCUGCUGAGAUGCAGGCUGGGAGAGGGGACCCCCAGGGUCCAGCCGGGUGCUCCCCCACGACGCCCAGCGCCCCCACGCCGUACCAGCGUUCAGAGGCACACCCACACCCCCUUGCUGACAGACCAGGCCCAUGCAUGUGCCCAGUGCUCCGCCCUGCCCCCACCACACAUGGGCCCAGGGGAGUGGGGGGAGCCCUCCCUGCCGUAUGCCGAGUGGCACGGACCCUCGGGUCCUAGACCCUGGUGGUUCCAGGCUGGGGCAACCCUCCCCUGUGUGAGCCCAUCAGGCUGUGGUGAAGCCCCCGCUCUGGCUGGGCUCAAGCCCCUCUGCCCUGCUGGAGGCAUGACCCUGGGCUGUCAGGAAGUAUGGAGAGAUGAGAAGUCACAGCCCGUCAGGCAGCCCGCGGCCCUCCUAGGGUGCCAUGGCGGGGAGUCCCGAGGGCAGGGCCUUGUCACUGCUCUCCCAGGUCCUGUGCAGGCUGCCCUAGCAGAUGGGCCGCCCGGGGCAUGCUUGGCCUGUCCAGGGCCGAGACCUGUGGGUGGGCAUGGAGGGCCCUGCUCAGGGCCAGCCUGGCUCCGCCGAGGACCUGCCCGCAGCCCCUCCCCGCCCCAGCACAGGCCGGGCGCCUUACCUGCCAGCGUCAGAGGCUACUCUCGUAGCUGGUGGCCACCUUCUGGCCCUUAAGCCCAGCACCCCAGCUUAGUCCUGGCGCUGGUGGGGGGGGUUCUACGGUGGACAAGAGGCGCCUUUCAGUGUGGUGCGGCUGCGCCCUAUGUCCCUGGCGUGCAGAGGCGAGGCGGGUGGUCCCGCCAGGCCAGGGAGGGGCUCUGCUCCCUGAGGGGUGCAGCCACAGCUCGGGGCAGGGAGGUGGGGGCGUCCGUCAAGAGGGGCCAGGAGGCUGCGCCCGGGUCCUCACGCCUCCCGUCCGCGCAGCACCAGCUGGCCACGCCCCACUCGCAGGCCGCAGGUUGGCCGGAGCUGAGCCCGCCUCACCUGACAAGUGCUGGGCCGCAGGCGGGUCGUGUGUGCUCAGCAGCUGGGCCUGGAUGGUCUCCACCACCCUCUUGAAGCGACGGCUGGGGCCUAGGGGAGACAGGGGGUUAUGCCCUGGACGGGCCUGGGCCCGGAGCCGCCCUGGGGGCGCCAGCUCACCUGAGAGCAGGGUGAAGGUGACGGAGUAGAUGCCGUUCUCCUUCUGCGCCUCCCCACCCUCCGUGUAGGUGAUAUCAACCUGGAACUUGACCGGCUUCUGGAACACGGCUGGCCCCCCCGUGGCCUUGUACUCGGCCCGGAAGCUCGUUUGGGAGAUGACGCUGUGGCUGAGACUGGGAAUCUGUGGAGAGAGAGCAGCGUGAGCGUGGCUGGCCUGGCAGGUCCCACCCUGGCCCUCUGGGGAGGCAGCCCUGGGGCGAGCCAGCCCCACCGUGCACACAUUGUGAGCACCCAGGCACCUCUGCUUCCGUGAGGGGCACAGUGCGGUUGGAGACGGCUGGAGCAGGGGGAGGGGCGUUUCCAGCCCCCACCCUCCAAAGCUUUGGUCCACUUAGCGGGCACAGCUAAGCCCCUGCCGGGCUUUUCUCAGGCAGCCACAGCACAGGAUGACCAGGACCUUACAGAGGAGCCUUAAGGGCAAAGAUGGAGGUGGAAGGUGACCCCUGCAGCCUGAGGUGGGGGUCCAGGGUGGAGCUGAGUGGGAGGUGGGGGGUCUGGGAGCUGCCACUGAGAGGGAGGUGCAAGGGCGGGGCUGGGGCUGUGCCCUCCUGCUGGGGCUUCCUGGGACUCCCACUGGUUGCGGGACCUAUGGUGCUGGGCACUGGCUGGGUGGGCUUCACAGUACCGAGGGGGCAGCUGCAGGAAGCAGAACUCAGGGCCACCCAGCGCACAGGGCCCAGGCUGGCACACAGCCGCCUCACUGGGGCCGGCAUGGGGAGGGGCUGAGUCUGAGGUUAGCCGUGGCAACCAGGGGCAGCAUGAAGGGAUGUGGUGAGGGAGGAGGCCGAGGAAGUGAGCAGCCUGUGGGGACGGGGACGGGGACGCUGAGGACCCCUGAGGCCAGGGUCCAAGUGCAGUCUGAGGCCUGCCCUGCCCAGCGCUGGGCUCUCCUGGCCCUGGAGCCUUCUGCAGGGGCUCCAAGCUGUCCCCACAGCGUAAGGGAAGCUCAGCUGCAGCCAGGGCAGCAGUGGCCUGAGUGCCCGGGGGCAGAGCAUAUGGUGGGGUGGGGGCCAGUCCCUAGCUAGAGAGGCUGCCGAAGCGAACCACGGCCUGAUCUUGCCAAGACCCUGGGGCCAGGGAGGGCGCCCGGGCAGUGGUGAGCACAGGGCAGGACAGCAGCCCUGGGGAGGCAGGCUGGGGGCGGUGGGGGAGGCGGGUGGGGGGCAGCCCCUGUGAUGCCUGGGCGCUGGGUGCAGCACAGGGUGGGGCAGGGCCGGCAAGGAAGGGGCGUCCUGAUGGGACUGGGUGCUGGAGUCCUGGCAAUAAACUUUCUCCAUUUGAGGCUUUUAGGGCCUUUCUGCUCCUCCUAACCCAAAGAUGCCCAGCAAAGACAAAUGAAGCCCACCCAAGACCCCGAGCGCGACCACUCUGUGGAGAGCCACCCGGCCUCCGAGGGCAGGGCCAAGCACCCCAGAUGGGCAGUGACCCCUCCCUCACGAGGGUGGGCAGGAGAGAGCGCCUGUCCAGUGAAGGCGGCCAGGCAGGCCCACGGGAAGGCGUGCACGAUGUCAGCCUUGAUGGAGCUCAGAGGUUUGUCUUUGAUGACCACGAAGAUCUGCUCCUCCUUCUCCAGGCUGAUGAAGUUCCCAAACCAGGACUUCUUCGCCAGCCUGGGCAGUGGGAGACAGAGGCUGUGAGGAUUGAGGUGUGGCACCGUCCACACCCCUGCCUCCCUCGAAUCUGGGGUUGGAACGGCGGAAUCUUCCAUCGCUUCGUGAUAGAAACGGCUGUCUCCACAGUGCUAGCCAGAACCCAUGGCCCUGACCCCAACGCCCUAACCCUAGCCCAUAUGCCCUGACCAUCACCGUGGCUCUAACCCCAACCCCAACCCUAACCUUUCUCCAAGCCCUAACGCCCUGACCCUGGCCCAUAUGCCACCCACUCCCAAGUCUGGGGAUGCCCCUCCACAGGUGAGCCCCCCACAGGUGAGCCCCCCCUCACCAAGGCCGCUGUGAGAGGUGGCUCAAGCUGGGCUCCUGAAGUCAGCUGUGCCCCCCACCCCCAGGAGCAGGCGGGGCCUGCAACUCGCUUCCAACAGGAGAGUGGGGAGGCGCUUCUGAGGCCACAGAAGGCUACUCCUGUCUUGCUGGCAGGCUCACCCCAACAUGCAGAGGCCCUCUGCUCUCCAGCUCAAGAGCACCCGAACCCCACCCACCAGCGCGGGGGCCAGGAAGCCCAGCCGUGAGAGGACCAUGGCCAGAGGCGCCUCUAGCACAGCCCGAGACUCAGGCAGAGCGCGCCUGGGUGGCUGUUCAGAGGUGGCACGCUCUGCUGGCGUCCCCUGCCGUUGCUGCCUGGAGGUGGAACCAGGUGUGCUGAGAGGCAGAGGCAGGGACCGGGAGGAGGGGCCAGCAGGGCUGGGGCUCAGUGGUGCCCUCUCCCGACUGAUUCUGAGGCCCCUCCCAGCGGCCUCACAACUCCCCUUUCCCUUGCCCAUUCCUGGAGCUGCCUCCUCGGCCACUGUGCGGCCUGGGAGUCCUGCCGGACAAGCACGGGGACCAGGUCCAACCCUCACUCAGCCCCUCGACGCCUCCUCAGUGUCCUGCCGGUCUCGGCGGCUGUCUGUUCUGGGUUCAAAAC